UACUGCAGUAGCACUACAUAAAUUGUUACUACAUGGCCUGAUUCUUCAAGGCUCACUCAUGGAGACAAUAAGUACUUACUUCUCCUAUGUUGGUCUCUACUUUACAAGGUGUGUGACUGUCAUCUGAGUAGCAGUUGAAUCAGCAUUUCUUGAAACAGAAAUACGGUGAAUUUACAAGACAAUACAUCAGAGUUGGAUGAAUUAUAUUGAAAUCACUUCACAAUGCACAUAGGAAUCAAAAUAUUGUCCAUCUCCAGCGUUCCAUUGAUUUUUGUCAUGAAAUGGUUUUGGGGUGAUUUUACUGUCACUGUGCAUGUUGCUCCUGCAGUUGUCUUGGUUGGACAAGCUGUGACAUUGUCCUGCCAUCUCAUAGGCCAGGUCCCCGCUAACAUUCAAGUGUAUUGGUACAAAUUGGAAAGGAACAAAAAUACGACGUUAUAUUUUUACAAUAGCACAGAAAAAGGGACUGAGCUGGGCCGGGCUGAGGACCGGCACAGGAUCAAAGGACGAUAUGCGAAUGGAGUCAUUAGGGUGAAGCUCUUUCCAGUGCAAGUAGAAGAUAGUGGUCAGUACGUGUGUGCGGUGACAAGCGAUG
Terrapene triunguis (Three-toed box turtle) is the source of this 595-nucleotide long non-coding RNA. RefSeq lists it as uncharacterized. NCBI's taxonomy places the organism in Eukaryota, Metazoa, Chordata, Testudines, Emydidae. The record is from RefSeq and is a predicted model, not a curated record. The transcript is spliced from 3 exons.